Molecule: long non-coding RNA, 212 nt
Filed under: Setaria viridis
Lineage: Eukaryota; Viridiplantae; Streptophyta; Magnoliopsida; Poales; Poaceae
Description: long non-coding RNA (SVIR_LNC005191)
Source: RNAcentral
UCGCUGCUUGCCUUUCUUCUUCUGUUGGCAGUUGGAGGUGCCCUCGUCAGCAUCCUCCUCCCGCUUUGCCUUGCCUUUGGAGCGGUCGAAGAUCGCUCCAACGGCCUCUUCGCCCGAGGCGUAGCUGGUGGCAAUAUUGAGGAGCUCCUCCGUGGUUCGCGGGCCUCGGCGCCCUAGCUCGUGGACGAGGGGUCGGCAGGAGGUUCCCACCA